RNAcentral lists this long non-coding RNA (800 nucleotides) under Fukomys damarensis (Damara mole-rat). Its description in RNAcentral is "lncRNA (ENSFDAG00000027837.1)". The record is from RNAcentral. Lineage: Eukaryota; Metazoa; Chordata; Mammalia; Rodentia; Bathyergidae.
GCGCCCGGGCUGCUCCGGCUUUCCGUACAGGCGCGGCGCAGCGGGCCCCUACCCGUCCCAGGCCGCCACUCUGCCGCUCGGGAGGUGGCUGGAGCCCUUGUGGUGGCUCAGAUUGCUGUGGUCCUCGUACUCUAGAGUCAACUUCCUGCCUAGGAAUGGUCUGCUGUAAACCUCACUUGCUGAGUAGAUUGCUUACUUUCUAGGACACAGGAGACUUAGUUAAGAGGCUGGCAACAACCUGGCAAGAAAAUACUAUUUGCUGGAUUCAUUGAUAAUAGUUUGGAGUUGCUUUUUUGGUAAGCCUUUUCUGAUGAAACUCUAAACAGCUGAUUUGUCUACUCCCUGUUUUAUGCUUCUCUAUAUCCUGGACCAGCUUUUACUAUAGUGCUGGUACUUCUCGAUUACUACUACUACUAAUCCUGUCUUUCCUCACCUAACUUCAGACACCUCAAUGACAAGGACUGUAGCUUUUGCGCUUUAUACCUCAGCACCAUGCAAGGCUCCUGACAUCACAUAGGUGCUCAAUAAGUUGUUGAUGAAUGAAUGAAUCAGCCACAUCCUCAAUCAAGGACAAAGGUGAGGUGGAGAGCUUAACCCCGUGACUUAGAUACAGGGUUAUCAAGCCACUUGUAAUUCAUUAAUGAAGUCCAGAAGAGUGCCAGAAAUGAGAUAGCUUAAAUAAUGUACUCCCAAUAAAACUCACGUAUUUUUACUUUCUAUCAUCAAGGUAUUUCAAACAAAUUGGUCAUGAUAUAAGCCCUUGUUUUAAAAUUGCUGCUAAGGAUAGGUUUAUAACAAAC